Molecule: small nucleolar RNA, 76 nt
Organism: Oryctolagus cuniculus (rabbit)
Lineage: Eukaryota; Metazoa; Chordata; Mammalia; Lagomorpha; Leporidae
Gene: SNORD53B
Product: small nucleolar RNA, C/D box 53B
Source: Ensembl
UUGCCGUGAUGACUUCCGUUGGGUUUCGCAUGUUGCUGAGCCCCAGUGAUGCGUCCUCUCUUGGCUGUCUGAGCAG